ACGGGGGUCAGUUUGUGAAGGCGCUGUUUCAAUGAGUCUAUAUACAUGAUGGCACCACUAUAAACACUUGCCUCCCCCAUAACAAGCUCAGGCCAACCAUCAGGACCCACCAAGAAAUCCUACCAGUGCCAAAAGUGAAAUAUAAAAGAAAAAAAUCAAUAAAUGAAAUAAAAUACAAGAUGGCGCCACUGUAAACACUUGCCUGCCCCAUAACAAGCUCAGGCCAACCAUCAGAACCCACCAAGAAAUCCUACCAGUGCCAAAAGUGAAAUAUAAAAGAAAAAAAUCAAUAAAUGAAAUAAAAUACAAGAUGGCGCCACUGUAAACACUUGCCUGCCCCAUAACAAGCUCAGGUCGACCAUCAGGAUCUACCAAGAAAACCUACUGGUGACAUAAGUGAAACAUGAAAUAAUUACGUAAAUAAAAAACAAA
Molecule: long non-coding RNA, 432 nt
Organism: Eriocheir sinensis (Chinese mitten crab)
Lineage: Eukaryota; Metazoa; Arthropoda; Malacostraca; Decapoda; Varunidae
Exons: 2
Source: RefSeq, a predicted model, not a curated record